GUUUACCAAAAACAUGGCUUCUUGUAUAAACAAUAAAUAAGGAGUCGGACCUGCCCAGUGAAUUUUUUAACGGCCGCGGUACUCUGACCGUGCAAAGGUAGCAUAAUCAUUUGCCUUAUAAUUGAAGGCUAGUAUGAAUGGUUUGACAAGAAUAUAGCUGUCUCUUUAUAAUUUUAUAGAAUUUUAUUUUAAAGUGAAGAAGCUUUAAUACAAUUAAUAGACAAGAAGACCCUAUCGAGCUUUAAAGGAAUUAUUAGAAAUUAAUUAAUAAUUUUUAAAAAAUUGACUAUUGAAAUAUUUUGGUUGGGGCGACUAAGGAACAAAAAAAGCUUCCUUUUAUAUAGUUUACAUUCAUGUAUUGAUCCAAAGUUUUUGAUUAAAGGAAUUAGUUACCGUAGGGAUAACAGCAUUAUCUUUUUUGAGAGCUCUUAUCGAAAAAAAGGUUUGUGACCUCGAUGUUGGACCAGAAUAUCCUAAAGAUGCAGAAGUCUUUAAGGGUUGGUCUGUUCGACCAUUAAAAUUCUACGUGAUCUGAGUUCAGACCGG
This 546-nucleotide ribosomal RNA is filed under the name Lophiotoma jickeli. RNAcentral's name for it is "partial 16S ribosomal RNA". It matches the Rfam family "Bacterial large subunit ribosomal RNA", at positions 1802 to 2619 of the family's 2925-position model. Lineage: Eukaryota; Metazoa; Mollusca; Gastropoda; Neogastropoda; Turridae. The record is from RNAcentral.